AAACUAAAACACGAGAGCAACCCACAGAAUUACUUCUUGCAGUACCUACCUCACCCUCGCCAUCCUCGUCGCAUCCACACGAGGCGACGAAAACCUUUCCAUCACAGCCUAUAACUCCUCUAGUCUUAUGACUUCUCGACGGGGCUCCUCCUAAAAGGCGUAACCCACUAUGAUCUCGAUAAAGUCACUGAAAAAUUCAUUACAUAUUUUAAAGGUUCCUCUGUUUCUCUCUUAGAGGCUCAUACUAGCUAAAGUACAAUUCCAAGAUCGAUGUGUACAUCUUCGAAGGUAAGCUGACCAGCCUUUCUGAGGUUAGUGUUAAAUUGUUUUUCCUUUGGUUUAACAUCGUUGACGUUGUGAGAAAUGGGGAUAAUCUUGAAUUUUCUAUUGGAAUUGCAUCUGCAGAUUUUCGAUUGAUAAUUUUUAUGGGUGCCGGCGAUGUGUAUGUAGAUGUGGAUUGAUUUGCGAAGGUGUUUAUAAGAAUGUGCCAAAAGGGAUUUUAGAAUUAAUCCAUAUGCUUUUCCAAUCUAGCAUAUAUGCAGAAGUCAAUUAGAUUUAUGGGUUUUGAAAAUAUCAAUUAUUCCCUUAAAUAAUUGCACAUACAAGCUGAAAUUUAAUUAUUUUACUGGUUUUAAGUCAUGUAGUGACAAUUAAAUGUUGAUAAUUCUCAUCUAGUUAAUUUAGAAUUUUGGGCAACCCUUGAAAAGGUAGAUUACCUUUUCUUGUAUGUUUCUUCUUUUUAAUGGCAAGUUGCCAUUCGACUCAUUCAUCAUCUGUUAGGUAAUAUCCAAACUUUCUGUUCCAGUUACAAGUGGGAAUAUUCUCACUGUUGAGGAUCUUCAGCAAGAGCUAAAAUGCAGCAUCAAUAUCAAGCCAUAGGUUUUUGUCCUGCCACUGCACUAUUCUUGAUGUUUGCUUAAUGCCUUAAUCAUUAUGGUGGCUUUAAUGUUGAUUUUCACUAUUGAUACAGUUACAAAUCCAUGCCAAUAAAAGGAAAAAAUUAUGUGUUCAAUCAUCGUGUUUAAAUGUAACAUGAGUUUUUUUCUUAAUCUUUGUAGUGGAGCAAAAGGAAAUUAUUUGUGACAGGAAAAAUUUAUGUGUUCAAUCAUUGUGUUUAGAUGUAAACGAGAUUUUUCUUCAUUUAGGUUUGCUUAUUGUCCUUCUCUUCAUUCCAACAUAGUUUUUACGGAUUGCAAUACAUCAAUUAAACAUAUGAAUAUGUAAGUACUAACAAUUUCCUUGAACAACAGAUUUUGGCUAGUGAAAAGUCCUUUGAUUUUGACGUGGAAAUAAUUGUAAAUAUUAUAUGCAGGUGAAGAGAAUGAGGGAAGAAUGUAGAAAACUGGAGGUUGAGAAGAAAAUUAAGGAGGUUGGUGGGGCUAUUUUACUCACUACAUAAGGUUUUUAGUAUUUUUUUUUCUUUUUUUGGGAAAUGUAUUGAUUUUUUAGGUGUUUCAGAAUUUUGGAUCUGAAUUUUGUUUGGAUAUUAUUAUAUUUUGGAGUUCAAUUUAUUAUAAUUAUUGGAUUAGUUUGAUAUUGUUAUCUUUG
This 1548-nucleotide long non-coding RNA is filed under the name Olea europaea subsp. europaea. Lineage: Eukaryota; Viridiplantae; Streptophyta; Magnoliopsida; Lamiales; Oleaceae. The record is from RNAcentral.